Molecule: ribosomal RNA, 393 nt
Filed under: uncultured bacterium
Lineage: Bacteria
Description: bacterial SSU rRNA
Rfam family: Bacterial small subunit ribosomal RNA
Source: RNAcentral
AUUGAACGCUGGCGGCAUGCCUUACACAUGCAAGUCGAACGGCAGCACGGGGGCAACCCUGGUGGCGAGUGGCGAACGGGUGAGUAAUGCAUCGGAACGUGUCCUCUUGUGGGGGAUAACCAGUCGAAAGAUUGGCUAAUACCGCAUGAGAUCGAGAGAUGAAAGCGGGGGACCCGAGGGCAACUUCGGGCCUCGCGCGAGAGGAGCGGCCGAUGCCGGAUAGCUAGUUGGUGGGGUAAAAGCCUACCAAGGCGACGAUCCGUAGCUGGUCUGAGAGGACGACCAGCCACACUGGGACUGAGACACGGCCCAGACUCCUACGGAGGCAGCAGUGGGAAUUUUGGACAAUGGGCGCAAGCCUGAUCCAGCCAUGCCGCGUGUGCGAAGAAGGCC